CCAUAAUAUCUGAAAUAAUUAAUGAGAGGCUUCAAGUAGAUAUUCCAGAUUGAAAAUGAUCAUUUUAACGAAACUUUUCGUUUUUUGAAUACUGUUGUGUAUUAUAACUCUUUCUCACCAAUUAUUUUUUUUCAGGUAAUGCUGGACCGAAUGACACCGAAUCAAUAAUACUGGGCUAAGAUCAUGUAAUUCCGAAAAACGAGAUGAUGGCAACACUGUCACUCCUGCGGUGGUUAUUUGAGUCAAUCCUCAAUCCCCCAAGAGAUGACUAUACUUAACACAAUAGUUGAGUCAUUCCGAAAGAUGAGAUGAUGACAACACUGUCACUCCUGUGGUUCGUUGAGUUGAGCCAAAUGAGGACAUGAGAAUGCCACUCUGGCUCACGUGGUUUAUCGAGAUGCACGAAGUUUAAAUGUCAAAUUGAAGUGUCAUUUCAGUUGUUCAUAACCAUAGAUUAAAUGAACAGAGAAUAGAUG
Molecule: long non-coding RNA, 476 nt
Organism: Coccinella septempunctata (seven-spotted ladybird)
Lineage: Eukaryota; Metazoa; Arthropoda; Insecta; Coleoptera; Coccinellidae
Exons: 6
Source: RefSeq, a predicted model, not a curated record